This 1203-nucleotide long non-coding RNA is filed under the name Piliocolobus tephrosceles (Ugandan red Colobus). RNAcentral's name for it is "lncRNA (ENSPTEG00000006987.1)". The record is from RNAcentral. Lineage: Eukaryota; Metazoa; Chordata; Mammalia; Primates; Cercopithecidae.
GCCCACACUUACCUAAAAGAUAGUAUUUCAAAAUGCACUAUAGUAAAGAUAAAAAAGAAAAAGACGAAGAUAGAAAGCGGAACCUAGGCAUUAAAAACACCACCAAUCAUAAGAACAAAAAGUAUGUUCGGAAUUUAAAACAAUCCGUUUAUAAUAAUAAAUAUAUUAAUACUUUUUACAAAAGAAAUAAUGGACUAAAAACAAAACGAAAUAGCAACGGAAUGUUAUAUAAUAAUAAUGUAAAUACCAAUGAUAUAGAUAUUGACAUCGAUAGUAAUAAUACUAUGCUUAAUAGCACUAAUCCUACUAAUACUAUGAAUAUAAAAAAUAAUCAACUAUAUUAUAAUAAAAAUUUAAUAAAUAGAAAUAAUAAAGAAAUAAAUAGGUUAAAUACUUACAAAAAAAAUUACUUUGAUCAUGAUAAUAUAAAUUAUAAUACAUUAAUUAAUUCACAAACACCUAUAUGUUCUAUACACAUUGAAAAAACAAUAGAAGAAAUAAAAAAACAGGAAGAAUUUAAUGAAUAUAUUUACUAUUGUAACAAUGUAACAGACAUAACAAAUUACAAAUAUCCACAAUUUAUAGAAGAAAUAAAGUUCACUGAAAAUACAGUGUUAUUAACAGGGAUACUUAUAUUAUCGAAUAAUGAUAGAAUUUUUAAUAAUUUAGAAUUUGAAGGAAAAACAACUCCUUCUCCUAAUGAUUGUAAUCUAAGUGUAUUUAUCAAUAUAGUCAAUCAAUAUAAUUCGCAAUAUUAUAAACAACUAUAUCCUGUUUCUUAUAAUUUUAAAGGCAGAUUGUUAUUUGUUACGUUAAAUAAUACAGUCGUAGAUUCAUCAUUAUUAAUAGAUAAAAUUAUAAUCAAAGGUAACUUUAAAUCACUUUCUUUGAUUGUGUUAGGUCAGGUCGAAGAAAUAAGCGAAGAGUUAAAAUAUUACAGAGAUGACAUAAACGACGACAAUCUGAGAAGCAGUAUGAACGAAGACACACUCGACGUUGAAAAUGUAGAACUAGAAAAAGAAGAACAAUAUGCACCUAAAAAAGCAGUAUACAUUAAAUCAUAUGCUAUUAAUACUUUAAUAGAAGAAAGUAUAACUACACAAAAUGAGAAAUAUAAACAAAACUAUAGUUUGCAAAACCAAAAGAUACAUAACUCAAAUAUACAUAAUAAUAUACUGUACAAACUAUCCAUGCGAUUAGAAA